AUACGUAGGGUGCGAGCGUUGUCCGGAAUUACUGGGCGUAAAGAGCUCGUAGGUGGUUUGUUGCGUCGUCUGUGAAAUUCCGGGGCUUAACUCCGGGCGUGCAGGCGAUACGGGCAUAACUUGAGCACUGUAGGGGAGACUGGAAUUCCUGGUGUAGCGGUGAAAUGCGCAGAUAUCAGGAGGAACACCGGUGGCGAAGGCGGGUCUCUGGGCAGUAACUGACGCUGAGGAGCGAAAGCAUGGGUAGCGAACAGGAUUAGAUACCCUGGUAGUCCAUGCCGUAAACGGUGGGCGCUAGGUGUAGGGGUCUUCCACGACUUCUGUGCCGUAGCUAACGCAUUAAGCGCCCCGCCUGGGGAGUACGGCCGCAAGGCUAAAACUCAAAGGAAUUGACGGGG
Molecule: ribosomal RNA, 398 nt
Filed under: uncultured bacterium
Lineage: Bacteria
Description: partial 16S ribosomal RNA
Rfam family: Bacterial small subunit ribosomal RNA
Source: RNAcentral